GGACUACUGGGGUAUCUAAUCCCGUUUGCUCCCCUGGCUUUCGCGCCUCAGCGUCAGAAGAGGUCCAGCGUAUCGCUUUCGCCACCGGCGUUCCUUCCGAUCUCUACGCAUUUCACCGCUCCACCGGAAGUUCCACACGCCCCUACCUCCCUCCAGACCAUCAGUAUCAGGGGCUCUUCUACGGUUGAGCCGCAGGAUUUCACCCUUGACUUGAUAGCCCGCCUACGCGCCCUUUAAGCCCAGUGAUUCCGAACAACGUUCGCACGGUUCGUCUUACCGCGGCUGCUGGCAC
Molecule: ribosomal RNA, 292 nt
Filed under: uncultured Planctomycetota bacterium
Lineage: Bacteria; Pseudomonadati; Planctomycetota
Description: uncultured planctomycete partial 16S ribosomal RNA
Source: RNAcentral